GCAGUUCCCCUACGGCUACCUUGUUACGACUUCACCCCAGUCACGAACCCUGCCGUGGUAAUCGCCCUCCUUGCGGUUAGGCUAACUACUUCUGGCAGAACCCGCUCCCAUGGUGUGACGGGCGGUGUGUACAAGACCCGGGAACGUAUUCACCGCGACAUGCUGAUCCGCGAUUACUAGCGAUUCCGACUUCACGCAGUCGAGUUGCAGACUGCGAUCCGGACUACGAUCGGCUUUCUGAGAUUGGCUCCCCCUCGCGGGUUGGCAACCCUCUGGACCGACCAUUGUAUGACGUGUGAAGCCCUACCCAUAAGGGCCAUGAGGACUUGACGUCAUCCCCACCUUCCUCCGGUUUGUCACCGGCAGUCUCAUUAAAGUGCCCAACU
Molecule: ribosomal RNA, 386 nt
Filed under: unidentified bacterium sp. sbr-gs20
Lineage: Bacteria
Description: partial 16S ribosomal RNA
Source: RNAcentral